This 1724-nucleotide long non-coding RNA is filed under the name Homo sapiens (human). Its description in RNAcentral is "HSALNT0252419". The record is from RNAcentral. Lineage: Eukaryota; Metazoa; Chordata; Mammalia; Primates; Hominidae.
AAACCCAUAAGAUAAUUAAUAAAUGACGCAAUGGCCUUUGUUCAGCGUUUUUAUAGCAGUUUCUCUGUAGCAUUUUAUAUUUGUAUUGCUGUAAUCAUCAUAAAACCCUCUUUUUCUUUAACUGUGCUGGCCCUGGCCUGUGCCCACUUUCUUUGUGUCUGUCUCAUCUAUCUCUUGCCUGGAUUGUUUAUUCUUUUCUUUGUAAGUCUCGUGUGUCAUUUGCUGAGGUGUAAUCUUCAGUCCUUGGCUCUGCUUUCUGCUGUGUUUGUUUUUCCCUUGAACACUCUUCCCUGGGUCACAGCUUCAGAAAUCUUCAUAAUAAUGUCUUAAUUUUUUUUUUUUUAAAUUUAGCUCUAUUCUUUCUCUGAAAUCUCAGUUUAGAUCUAGGCACUACACUUUAAAGAAAGACAUAGUGAAAGCAUUGAAAGCACAUCAAAUGAUGUUUAACCUAAAGAAGAGAAGACUCAAUGGGACAUGAAAAGUGCCUUCAAUUAUUUGAAGGGCCAUUAUGUGAAAGAAGGAUAAAGUUUAUUUUGGGUUUCCACAGGGAACAGCUACCACCAAAGCUUAGAAUUUUAAGGAGGCAUACUUUUGGAUCAGUAUAAGAGGAACAUUUAUAAAAAAUUGAACGGCAAAAAAAAAAAAACAUUAAAUUCGUGGAAAAACAGGGAAUUUUCCUGUCAUUAAAAAAAUGUCAAACACAGGUGGAAUGAUGAUUUGCUAGGGAUGAUGUUUAAGGGGAUCGAUAGAUCAAAUGAAGACACAGCCUUAUAGUUUUUAAAGUCCAUUUCAACUCAGAAAUAAUAUUGUGCUAUCAUCCCUUUGGAUUUUCCAUUCUUUGCUCAGUUCAGGCAUAUCUUCAACAUAAUUCAUCAUGUUCCUUUUUAAGUUCACUUUCCAGAUGACUUCCCAGCUGCCAGUACAACUCUCUCUCCAUAGAUCACCACGCACAUUUGAAACUUCAGCACCAUCUCUGCCUCAUUUUCCUCCUUUGCUUCUCAGGUGUAACCAGUCUUCCAGUCCAGUCCAUUGUCUUUUGGUAAAGCUUCUUUCAUUAUUCCUUUAUCCUUCCCAUGAUAAAUCUGGCAAUUAAGAACUUUAUCCAAAACCUUACUUACUUCAGAGAGGCAUUUAGCUUUAAGUCAAUGUAAGUGAUAUACUUGUAUAAAAGGGACAUUUAUGCAUUGUAAAUUAUCUGGAAAUAUAGGAUAUUGAAACCACCUUGGCAAAAAAUUAUAACUGAGGCAAUUAUGACAGUGAAAGAGAUAAGACCUCACUGAUUCUAUCUUGCCUGGGGACCGGUCUGCUUUUGUAGGAUUAACAAAUUAGCUAGAAGAUUAAAAAUUACUAUUUAGCGGCCAUGCGGCCUCUGGCUGCAAGAGGCCAAAUCUCCGCAGGUUGCACCUAAGAAUAACAUCACUGUUGUAAAGCCUAAGAUUGGUGUUUGAGAUAUUUUGCAGGCCCUGCAUUCCGAUGCACCAGCUGACACCACUCAGAUCCAUAAUCUGGCUCAAUCAGUUCUGCGAUUCCACUCAGGAACAGAAGACAGCAAGAAGAACUCACUUUGACCCUUCAUGAUUUAAUCUUCAACUCCAUCAGUCAGCAUUCCCCCACUUCCUGAGCCCCUUCCCACCAAAUUAUCUUUAAAAACUCUGAUCCAAUCCUUGAGUUUUCUCAGGGAGACUGAUCUGAGUAAUAAUAAAACUCUGGUUUUCCACACAGCC